UGUGAUAGACGACGGGAAGUCUCUUACUAAAGCUUUGGAACCAUCCCCGUCUUUCCUUCCUUUACAGAUUCGGGAAGUCUGUGCCUCGAAGUCUUUUAAGUGACACGGGAGCCAAACUGUGCAGGAACUGAAUGAAUGGAGAUCAAAACAAAGCUAAUGAUCUUAUUGGCUGGACUCCAGAUCCACUGCUCCUAAUACAGGGUCUGAGCACAGGCAUCUAUCAGGCACCAGUGAUGCACAGAUGAAACUCCGAAAUCAAGCUUCCUGAGCUAUUAAGAUGCUGCUGGUCUCCUAAAGGUGGAAAACCGACAAUGGCAAUCAUAGCUGACACUUGUCAUACCUUAGACACCAUGCAGAAUAAUGUGAAAGUCAGCUAAGAGGCCUGGGGCCUGUCCUUAAAAAUGGGUUCCAGGCAAUGUCUGAUUGCACUUAAGGCCCACUACAUGCCAGGGAGCCCAUCCCCGACACCGCUUGACUGGCCAAGAACCUGAGACAAGAUAGGCCAGCGACCUAGAGGAAAACCAAACACUACUGUUUGCUAAAGGAACGUAGCAAUAAAAUGACUCCUAAUGACGCGCUGCUGUACUCAUAGAUCAGUGGCUUGCUCAGCCAUCACCGGAGAUGCUCCCUUCUGCAGAAGAUGGGAACAAAUACAGAGACCCACAGCCAAUGUGCAGAGAGUGAGAGACCUUGAACUACUCCGUUAUUUGUGCCAGCGAGACAAAGAUAAUCCAGAUCUGACGAGAGUAAGUUCAGGAGAGAAUGGCAAAUCCGAAAAUAGAGGUGGAAAUAAAAGAAACACUCUCUGCCCUUUGCAGUAAGGCAAACAGCAGCUGAAGAGACAUGGAGUCAAGAAGCUCUUGCUUUGUUACACAGUGGGAAUGAGAAAGAUGCAGUAGAGAGAAAGAUUGAUGCAGGAUUCAAUCAGUGAGCCUGAGACAAACAGCUACAGCUUCACAGGAACAGUAUUGUUGUAAAGGUCUUAUGCACUGCAGAGAAGUUGAGGCCAUUCAACAAUUAGUGUCCCUAUUCCGAGAAGUGAAUUUUGGUGGCGUGAGUAGGAAAAAACAACACGGAAAUAAGAAAGACCCACGAUGGCCAUUUGGAGCACAAUGGGACCUUGUUUACUCGACGACGUGGACUCCAGCGUUCCCUUGAAAAAACGCAAGUGAUUAAGAAAAUACUUUGAGAACCUAAUAAUAGUGCCCUGUAAUCUGAGAACCACCUCUCAUCUUUCUGAG
This is a long non-coding RNA of Peromyscus californicus insignis, 1241 nucleotides long. RefSeq lists it as uncharacterized. Lineage: Eukaryota; Metazoa; Chordata; Mammalia; Rodentia; Cricetidae. The transcript is spliced from 7 exons. The record is from RefSeq and is a predicted model, not a curated record.